GACGAACGCUGGCGGCGUGCUUAACACAUGCAAGUCGAACGGAAAGGCCCUGCUUUUGUGGGGUGCUCGAGUUGCGAACGGGUGAGUAACACGUGAGUAACCUGCCCUUGACUUUGGGAUAACUUCAGAAAACUGGGGCUAAUACCGGAUAGGAGCUCCUGCUGCAUGGUGGGGGUUGGAAAGUUUCGGCGGUUGGGGAUGGACUGGCGGCUUAUCAGCUUGUUGGUGGGGUAGUGGCUUACCAAGGCUUUGACGGGUAGCCGGGCUGAGAGGGGGACCGGCCAAAUCGGAAUGGAAAUACGACACAGACCCGAACGGGAGGCAGCAGUGGAGAAGAGUGUACUAGAGACGGAAGGCUAACGCAGCAACGCCGCGUGCGGGAUGACGGGCUUCGGGUUGUAAACCACAGUCGCCUGUGACGAGGCGUUAGUGACGGUAAUGGGUGAAGAAGCACCGGCUAACUACGUG
RNAcentral lists this ribosomal RNA (468 nucleotides) under uncultured bacterium. Its description in RNAcentral is "partial 16S ribosomal RNA". It matches the Rfam family "Bacterial small subunit ribosomal RNA", at positions 28 to 507 of the family's 1533-position model. The record is from RNAcentral.